This 377-nucleotide ribosomal RNA is filed under the name uncultured bacterium. RNAcentral's name for it is "bacterial SSU rRNA". It matches the Rfam family "Bacterial small subunit ribosomal RNA", at positions 521 to 896 of the family's 1533-position model. The record is from RNAcentral.
UAAUACGGAGGGGGCCAGCGUUGCUCGGAAUCACUGGGCGUAAAGGGCUCGUAGGCGGUCUGAUAAGUCCUGUGUGAAAUCCCUUGGCUUAACCAAGGAACUGCGCUGGAUACUGUCGGACUAGAGGCCGGGAGAGGGAAGCGGAAUUCCGAGUGUAGCGGUGAAAUGCGUAGAUAUUCGGAGGAACACCGGUGGCGAAGGCGGCUUCCUGGACCGGUUCUGACGCUAAAAAGCGAAAGCUAGGGUAGCAAACAGGAUUAGAUACCCUGGUAGUCCUAGCUGUAAACGAUGGGCGCUUGGUGUUGCGGGUAUCGACCCCUGCAGUGCCGAAGCUAACGCAUUAAGCGCCCCGCCUGGGGAGUACGGUCGCAAGGCUG